AUGGCGCCGAAGAAGACGUCGAAGGGCAAGUCCGGCUUCUUCGGCGUGAGGCAGAAGCCCUCCGGUAACUGGGGAGUGGAGUUCUCCGAUGCCGGGAGGCGUUGGUGGAUCGGCACAUACCCCUUCGCCCACGAGGCCGCGCGUGCCUACGACGUGGCGGUGUGGCGUGCCGGGAGGCCUCGGGAGCACCUCAACUUCCCAGAGAUCGAGAGUCGGGUGGAAGCGGAGAUGCUUGUGUCGCAGGGCAUCAAGAUGAAGGAGAUCACGACGAAGAAGACGACGACGAAGAAGCCGUCGGUUGUCGUCAAUGCCGACGAGACCAACGAGGAGGUGAUGGCGAGGUUUGCUUGGGAGCACCCGGAGUACGUCUAA
RNAcentral lists this ribosomal RNA (372 nucleotides) under Triticum aestivum (bread wheat). Its description in RNAcentral is "partial small subunit ribosomal RNA". The record is from RNAcentral. Lineage: Eukaryota; Viridiplantae; Streptophyta; Magnoliopsida; Poales; Poaceae.